Ochotona curzoniae (black-lipped pika) is the source of this 108-nucleotide small nuclear RNA. The record is from RefSeq and is a predicted model, not a curated record. Lineage: Eukaryota; Metazoa; Chordata; Mammalia; Lagomorpha; Ochotonidae.
GUGCUUAUUUCGUCAGCACAUGUACUCAAGUUAGAAUGAUACAGAGAAGAUGAGCACAGCCUCUGCACGAGCGUGAAAAGCUCCUUUUGUGCUACUUUCAGCAAUGUU